GGUCCUUUUGCAUUUCUAAUUCAUGUCAUCCUGGACUCUUUUAGCGAAGUUCAUUACUGGAUUCUCUAUUGCUUAUUUUGCUGCAUCACUUGUGUUUUUUAAGGACUCUUCCAUACGUUUGAGUGUCACCUUCACUAUCGUGUUGAUUGGAAGGCACUGCACUCCCUUCAACACGUGGUUGUUCUUAUACGCAUCAUCUAUGUCAGUGCCCAUGAUGCCAUACCUAGCUCCUCUUGUGUCAUGCAGCAGUGA
RNAcentral lists this ribosomal RNA (252 nucleotides) under Triticum aestivum (bread wheat). RNAcentral describes it as "partial small subunit ribosomal RNA". Lineage: Eukaryota; Viridiplantae; Streptophyta; Magnoliopsida; Poales; Poaceae. The record is from RNAcentral.